AGUGGCAGACGGGUGAGUAACAUGUGGGUAUCUACCCUUUGGCCUGGAAUAACACGAGGAAACUUGUGCUAAUACCGGAUAAGUCUUUACGGAGAAAGCUUUAUGCACCAUUGGAUGAGCCCGCACUUGAUUAGUUUGUUGGUAGGGUAAUGGCCUACCAAGACUAUGAUCAAUAGCUGAUUUGAGAGGAUGAUCAGCCACAUUGGGACUGAGACACGGCCCAAACUCCUACGGGAGGCAGCAGUGGGGAAUCUUGCACAAUGGAGGAAACUCUGAUGCAGCGAUGCCGCGUGAGUGAAGAAGGCCUUUGGGUUGUAAAGCUCUUUCGUCGGGGAAGAAAAUGACUGUACCCGAAUAAGAAGGUCCGGCUAACUUCGUGCCAGCAGCCGCGGUAAUACGAAGGGACCUAGCGUAGUUCGGAAUUACUGGGCUUAAAGAGUUCGUAGGUGGUUGAAAAAGUUGGUGGUGAAAUCCCAGAGCUUAACUCUGGAACUGCCAUCAAAACUUUUCAGCUAGAGUAUGAUAGAGGAAAGCAGAAUUUCUAGUGUAGAGGUGAAAUUCGUAGAUAUUAGAAAGAAUACCAAUUGCGAAAGCAGCUUUCUGGAUCAUUACUGACACUGAGGAACGAAGCAUGGUAGCGAGAGGAUUAGAUACCCUCGUAGUCAUGCCGA
Molecule: ribosomal RNA, 671 nt
Filed under: uncultured bacterium
Lineage: Bacteria
Description: bacterial SSU rRNA
Rfam family: Bacterial small subunit ribosomal RNA
Source: RNAcentral